UAAUUUUGCCUUUUGCCUUGUGAUCUUUGCUUUGCCCUUUGCCUUGUGAUCUUUAUCCCCCUUUGAAGCAUGUGAUCGUUGUGACCUAUUCCCUGUUCGUACAUCCACUCCCCUUUUGAAGUCCUUAAUAAAAACCUGCUGGUUUUGCUGCUCAGGUGGGCAUCACAGACCUUCCAACAUGUGAUUUCACCCCCGGUAGCACAGUUGUAAAUUUGUCUCUUUGUACUCUUUCUCUUUAUUUCUCAGACCUGCCAACACUUAGGGAAAAUAGAAAGAACACAUGUUGAAAUAUUGAGGGUGGGUUCCCCCGAUACCACAGGCCCCCAGCAGAUGACGAGGACAUUGUAGACUCAACAUGUCAUGCCACUCAUUUCCUUUGGUGAUGAUCCUAGCAGCCAUUUUUCUUAACAUCUUCUGUCACUUUCUCUCAGUGGUAAUGAAAGGAAUUCCUGCACACGUUUUAACUGAACAAGAAAUCCCAGCAAAAAAAAAAAAAAAAAAAAAAGAGUUAUUUCUGCUUCUUUGAUUGUGGAAAACAAACACUUCUCUGAAGCAUGACCUUAUUCUUCCGAGCAGUAUUGCUAGUAAACUAGCAUGCUGGACUUCAGAUCUCAGGGAUCUUUUCCAUGCACUAACCAAGAAUUGUAUUAAUCCUUUUUACUGUUAUGCUUUUUUACAGUUUCUCAUUCUGUCAACCAUAUUGGAGUGAAGUGGCAUAAUCAUCACUCACUGUAAUCUCCAACUCCUGGGCUCAAGUGAUCCUCUAGACUCAACCUCUAGAAUAGCUGCAAGUACACGCGCAUGCCACCAUGCCUGGCAAAUUGUUUGAUUUUUGGGUAGAGACUGGGUCUUCCUAUGUUGCCCUAUAUAGAGAAUUAAUGGGAUUUCAUUCUUCUGACAUGUUAUAUUUAAUAAUAAAACUAGGGAUGCUGCUAGAUAUCUUUUGGAGACAGAGAUUUUAAAGAUCACUCUUAAUUUAUAAGCAGUCUGGCUGUCAGUCUUCACCACUGUCCUGAUGUCCUGGGCCAGCAGAUAUUCCUGCCUCUAUCCCUGCUUCCAGAAUGUGAUGCUUUCUGGUUUGUCCCUAGCCCACUCCAGGCUUGGCAGUGGCUUUUCUCAUCAUUCUUCAGCCCUGAUCAUGCUCACUUCUAGUGAAAGAAAUCCUCACCACAGAUACAUCUCUAUUUGUAAAUGUUAUUCUAUUCCCCCAUAGACAAAAGAUCAGAAGCAGAAUAUAUAAAGAACUACUAGAAACUAAUAAAAUGCACCUAAUUCUUCAGGAAAUGCUGUGAGCAAUUCAGAGAUCCUAAAGAAACCUGUGAAAGCUUUUAUAGCUCUAAUACAAUCAAGAAAACGAUGGUCUACCCCUGUAUACUCAUCUUACCAACAAAUUUUUUUAGUCUGUCUCUACCAAUUGGUGGACAGGAAAUGGAAUAUCAGAGACUUCUUACAUUGUGGGUAAGAGUCCAGAUUGAAUCACUUUUUUGAUGUCUACUCAGGUAGUAUCCAGGAGAGUGGACGCUGUGCUCAUCCCACUAACCAGCAAUCCCAGAGUCAGUUCUGGGUUCCAAACAUGUUCCAGAGAACAUGGAGAUACUAGACUGCUGACUGUGCUGUCCUUUGUCGUAGCGAAAAUUGAAAAUAGAAAUGGAAGAAAAACUUACUUUUCAGAAAUUGAUGUGAAGGAGUGAAUACCUCCAUAAAUGCAGCAGAUCUCCUCCUCCUCCUGCAAAGCCAGGGCCUGCAGCUCAUCCCUGUGGUCACUUCAUCCACCCACAACUGAGGAACCCCCAGCACAUCCUCGUCUCAGUAACCAUGGAGGCAUCUGGAACCGUGGGCAGAAGUAAGAAGGAGCAGUAUUUUGUAGUUCUCCUAUAAAGAUCUUUCAUCCCUUCGGGUCAAUGAACUACUAGGUACUUCAUUUUCUUGUCACACAUUGCCGGACUUCAAACUAUAUUAUAAUGCUACAGUGACGAACACAGACCAACGCUGGCACAAAAAUAGAUGCUUAGAACAGUGGAACAAAAUAGACAGCCCAGAAAUCAACUUGCACACCUACCACCAUCUAAUCUUCAACAGAAAUGAGCAAUGGGGGAAAGAUCCCCUAUUCGAAAAAUAGUGCUGGGGUAUCUGACCAGUCAUAUGCAGAAUAAUGAAACUGAACCCCUACCUCUCACCAUAUAUCUAAAAUAACUCGAUAUGGAUGAAAGAUUUAAAUAUAAGUAUUAAAACUGUAAAAAUCUUGGAACAUAAUCUAAGAAAUACCAAUGUGGACAUAGGGCCUGGCAAAGAUUUCAUGGAGAAGACACUAAAAACAAUUGUACCAAAAACAAAAAUUGACAGAUGGGAUCUCAUUAAAGAGCUUCUGCACAGCAAAAGAAACUAGUAACACAGUAAACAGCCUGUAGAAUGGGGGAAACUAUUUGCAAACUCUGUAUCUGAUGAAGGUCUAAUAUUCAGAAUCUAUAAGGAAUUUAAACAAUUUGACAAGCAAGAACAAAAAAUCCAAUUAAAAAUGU
Cercocebus atys (sooty mangabey) is the source of this 2519-nucleotide long non-coding RNA. RefSeq lists it as uncharacterized. The record is from RefSeq and is a predicted model, not a curated record. The transcript has 4 exons. NCBI's taxonomy places the organism in Eukaryota, Metazoa, Chordata, Mammalia, Primates, Cercopithecidae.